ACACAGUUGGUCGCCGCACUUUGGUGAGACUUGUUUACAAAUACCUGCUGUCAGAAACUGGUCACGCAGUAGCGAUUGUAUGUUUUGCCGCACAAUGGAAGGGGAAACAUAAAUAUUACGUUCGAGAGCUAUUCUCUUGGAGACCAAGCCCCGCAGGUGUGGAGUUACGUCGGCAAGUCCCAUGGCGGAGGGAGGCACCAAGCUGACACUGAGGCGCCUGGAGGCUCCCAUUCACAAGUUCAUUAAAGUGGCUCUACCCACUGACCUGGAGCGGCUCCAGAAACACCACAACAACAUACUGAAGUACCAGCAAGGCCAACAAUGGGGCCGCCUUCAUCAGGAGCACAUAAAUGCCAGCCGAACAGUUCAGCAACUGCGAGCCAACAUCAGAGAGAUGGAGAAGCUGUGCACCCGUGUCCGCGCAGAAGACGCCGCAGCUCUGGAGAGGCUCAUCAAACCGGUCAAGGACAGGGCGUCGGCCGCUGCGCGAGACUUCCUGCAGUUGCACUCCAACCCCGCCCUUGAGCCCACGCCGUCUUCGCCGCCACCUGACUCCGGUCGGCCGUCCGGCUGCGGGCCCGGCGCUGGUGACGACAUGGACGAGGAGUUCGUUUCUGGCUGGCAAAUUCAGUCCCAGCUGCCGGAGAUCCCCGUAGAAGAGAGUGCUGCUGAGUCUUGGGAAAACCUGGAAGAGGAUCUGAAGCAGCUGAGUGGUUUGGUGACAAGCUUUUCUGUGCUCGUCCACUCCCAGCAGGAGAAGAUUGACAGCAUUGAGGACAACGUCAACACGGCUGCUGCCAAUGUGGUGGAGGGGUCCAAGAGCCUGGGGAAGGCGGUGGGCUACAAGUUGGCCAUCUUUCCUUUGGCCGGGGCGCUCCUUGGCGGCGCCCUAGCGGGUCCGCUGGGCCUGCUGAUCGGACUCAAAACCGCUGGCAUGGCCGCCGUGGGAGGCAGCGCCCUGGGCUUCGCCGGGGGGAGCCUGGUCAAGAGUCACCGCAAAAGCCUGUUAGCGCUGCAGAUGAAGCAGCUGACGGCGCCACCGGUUGACGCCGGGUCAGGCAAGGAAGAGUGAGUGGCGGCGUUUAUGGCCGGCCACGGGACGCCUGAUAGUCCUUGUGAGCUGCGAAACUAUUACGGAGUCAGGGUGUUGGGCGUUGCUGUUCUGUCCCGCUGGCCUGUGUCCUGACCCAAAGCCCCCCUCCCCGGACGUGCGUCCCCACCCCUCGAGGCGUGGCAUUGAGUCCAAAAGGGUGAGUGGAAGGAAUGGCGGCUGAGGUCACAGCUCGUCGCGGUCCCGUCUGAGGAUGGUGUAGCGAGUCUCGCUGGGCGCCAGCUUUUGGAAGGAGCUCUGUGGGGGGCUGCUGGCCGCGUCUCCCCUGAUCUCCUCCUGACAACAAACACAAACGCCAAGCAAUUGAAAAAAUAAAUUCAUCAAGGGUGACGUGAGCAUCUUUUGCUAAGAGGAGUGUCACAUGGCUAAAACAAUCUCUGCAUUUUAUGAGCUCUGUUCGAAGUACAGUGGUACCUUAAUAUUCGCUCUGUAAGUCGUAACUCAAAACACAAAUCAUCUUUCACCAUUGAAAUGAAUGGAAAUGCCAUUAAUCAUUUCCUGCCUCCCAAAAAAUAUAUAUUUGUAACGUAUUUUUUAAAAAGAGAAAUAUAGCAUUCUAUAAUUUAUACUUUUAAAAAGAUGACAAUCAAAAACGUAAAGAAUUAAACACUUUCUGCCACAA
Phyllopteryx taeniolatus (common seadragon) is the source of this 1733-nucleotide RNA transcript. It is a transcript of the gene named syntaxin 17, with no coding region annotated. The transcript is spliced from 8 exons. Lineage: Eukaryota; Metazoa; Chordata; Actinopteri; Syngnathiformes; Syngnathidae. The record is from RefSeq and is a predicted model, not a curated record.